UCUAAUCAAACUCUUUAAUUUACCAAAAAAACCCUCAAGUUGCUAUUUGUGUCUAGCUUUGUAACUUAGGCUUUGAUUUUGAUCUAAGUUGAUAACUGGUUCUUUUCAAGUUUCAAAUUUUGUCCUUUUGAAUAAAUUUUUUCUAAAAUCAACUUCUAACUUUUUUUUACAUAUGCUCAUAUUUUUAUUUUUUUAAUCUAUCUUAAUUUGUUUUAUUUAUGUCCUUAUAAAGUAAGUAGAAGUCUUUUAAAUAAAAUGGUAGUAUUUAAAUCUUUACUUUUACUUUCUUUUGGAUUAUUAUCUAUUUAAAAGUAGCCUUUGAACUUGUUAUAGAAGUCUUCAAC
RNAcentral lists this long non-coding RNA (344 nucleotides) under Physcomitrium patens. RNAcentral describes it as "long non-coding RNA (PPAT_LNC012318)". Lineage: Eukaryota; Viridiplantae; Streptophyta; Bryopsida; Funariales; Funariaceae. The record is from RNAcentral.